GAUGAACGCUAGCGGCAGGCCUAAUACAUGCAAGUCGAACGAUACUUCCCAGCUUGCUGGGGAGGAAAGUGGCGCACGGGUGCGUAACGCGUAUGCAACCCACCUUAAUCAGGGGGAUAGCCCGGAGAAAUCCGGAUUAACACCGCAUAAAAACACAGGAUAGCAUUAUCCAAUGUUCAAAUAUUUAUAGGAUUAAGAUGGGCAUGCGUGACAUUAGCUAGUUGGCGGGGUAACGGCCCACCAAGGCUUCGAUGUCUAGGGGAUCUGAGAGGAUGACCCCCACACUGGUACUGAGACACGGACC
RNAcentral lists this ribosomal RNA (304 nucleotides) under uncultured bacterium. Its description in RNAcentral is "bacterial SSU rRNA". It matches the Rfam family "Bacterial small subunit ribosomal RNA", at positions 28 to 332 of the family's 1533-position model. The record is from RNAcentral.